GUGAGGAAUAUUGGUCAAUGGGCGGGAGCCUGAACCAGCCAAGUCACGUGAAGGAAGAAGGAUCUAUGGUUCGUAAACUUCUUUUGCAGGGGAAUAAAGUGCAGGACGUGUCCUGUUUUGUAUGUACCCUGAGAAUAAGGAUCGGCUAACUCCGUGCCAGCAGCCGCGGUAAUACGGAGGAUCCGAGCGUUAUCCGGAUUUAUUGGGUUUAAAGGGUGCGUAGGUGGUUUGAUAAGUCAGCGGUGAAAGUUUGCAGCUUAACUGUAAAAAUGCCGUUGAAACUGUCGGACUUGAGUGUAAAUGAGGUAGGCGGAAUGCGUGGUGUAGCGGUGAAAUGCAUAGAUAUCACGCAGAACUCCGAUUGCGAAGGCAGCUUACUAAGCUACAACUGACACUGAAGCACGAAAGCGUGGGGAUCAAACAGGAUUAGAUACCCUUGUAGUCC
This 445-nucleotide ribosomal RNA is filed under the name uncultured bacterium. RNAcentral's name for it is "partial 16S ribosomal RNA". It matches the Rfam family "Bacterial small subunit ribosomal RNA", at positions 354 to 796 of the family's 1533-position model. The record is from RNAcentral.